CCUACGGGUGGCAGCAGUGAGGAAUAUUGGUCAAUGGGCGCGAGCCUGAACCAGCCAAGUCGCGUGAGGGAAGACGGUCCUAUGGAUUGUAAACCUCUUUUGUCGGGGAGCAAAAGACGCCACGCGUGGCGUUCCGAGAGUACCCGAAGAAAAAGCAUCGGCUAACUCCGUGCCAGCAGCCGCGGUAAUACGGAGGAUGCGAGCGUUAUCCGGAUUUAUUGGGUUUAAAGGGUGCGCAGGCGGAAGAUCAAGUCAGCGGUAAAAUUGCGAGGCUCAACCUCGUCGAGCCGUUGAAACUGGUUGUCUUGAGUGGGUGAGAAGUAUGCGGAAUGCGUGGUGUAGCGGUGAAAUGCAUAGAUAUCACGCAGAACUCCGAUUGCGAAGGCAGCAUACCGGCGCUCAACUGACGCUCAUGCACGAAAGUGUGGGUAUCGAACAGGAUUAGAUACCCGGGUAGUC
This 459-nucleotide ribosomal RNA is filed under the name uncultured bacterium. RNAcentral describes it as "partial 16S ribosomal RNA". It matches the Rfam family "Bacterial small subunit ribosomal RNA", at positions 338 to 795 of the family's 1533-position model. The record is from RNAcentral.